AAACCCUUCUCCCAUGCCAAGAGGAGAAGUAAUGACAUUGUUGGCGCAUAAAGACAAUGAUAUUUUCAUUCAAUAAAUUCAUGUUAAAUGUUUGUUUUUCCAUUUAUUUUCCCUUUUCGCUUUUUGCAUGAAAUUGGUGAUCACAUAAAACCCUAAAAAAUAGAAUAAAAUCAAUUUUUUCAUCUGCAUAAUGAUUUGCCUUAUUUGAAUUCUAAAAGCUUUUCAUAUCCAAAAAUCAUUAUGCAGGUUGAUUUCUAAACCCAUUGAACAU
Molecule: long non-coding RNA, 271 nt
Filed under: Lathyrus oleraceus (garden pea)
Lineage: Eukaryota; Viridiplantae; Streptophyta; Magnoliopsida; Fabales; Fabaceae
Description: Pisum sativum (pea) long non-coding RNA (PSAT_LNC037389)
Source: RNAcentral